Molecule: ribosomal RNA, 274 nt
Filed under: uncultured bacterium
Lineage: Bacteria
Description: partial 16S ribosomal RNA
Rfam family: Bacterial small subunit ribosomal RNA
Source: RNAcentral
AUACAGAGGUCUCGAGCGUUGUUCGGAUUUACUGGGCGUAAAGGGAGCGUAGGCGGUUUGGUGUGUUGAACGUGAAAUCCCACAACUCAACUGUGGAAAUGCAUUCAAAGCUACCAGACUAGAGUACUGGAGAGGAGAGCGGAAUUCUUGGUGUAGCGGUGAAAUGCGUAGAUAUCAAGAGGAACACCUGAGGCGAAGGCGGCUUACUGGACCGAUACUGACACUGAGGAUCGAAAGCGUGGGUAGCAAACAGAAUUAGAAACCCCAGUAGUCC